Molecule: ribosomal RNA, 418 nt
Filed under: Agrobacterium tumefaciens
Lineage: Bacteria; Pseudomonadati; Pseudomonadota; Alphaproteobacteria; Hyphomicrobiales; Rhizobiaceae
Also listed under: 10 other names
Description: bacterial SSU rRNA
Rfam family: Bacterial small subunit ribosomal RNA
Source: RNAcentral
AGAGUUUGAUCCUGGCUCAGAACGAACGCUGGCGGCAGGCUUAACACAUGCAAGUCGAACGCCCCGCAAGGGGAGUGGCAGACGGGUGAGUAACGCGUGGGAACAUACCCUUUCCUGCGGAAUAGCUCCGGGAAACUGGAAUUAAUACCGCAUACGCCCUACGGGGGAAAGAUUUAUCGGGGAAGGAUUGGCCCGCGUUGGAUUAGCUAGUUGGUGGGGUAAAGGCCUACCAAGGCGACGAUCCAUAGCUGGUCUGAGAGGAUGAUCAGCCACAUUGGGACUGAGACACGGCCCAAACUCCUACGGGAGGCAGCAGUGGGGAAUAUUGGACAAUGGGCGCAAGCCUGAUCCAGCCAUGCCGCGUGAGUGAUGAAGGCCUUAGGGUUGUAAAGCUCUUUCACCGGAGAAGAUAAUGACG